UACGGAGGAUCCGAGCGUUAUCCGGAUUUAUUGGGUUUAAAGGGUGCGCAGGCGGGUAUAUAAGUCAGAGGUGAAAUUCCAGGGCUCAACCCUGGGACUGCCUUUGAUACUGUAUGUCUAGAGGAUAUUUGGAGUGGGCGGAAUGUAGCAUGUAGCGGUGAAAUGCUUAGAUAUGCUACAGAACACCGAUCGUGAAGGCAGCUCACUAAACUAUAACUGACGCUCAGGCACGAAAGCGUGGGGAGCAAACAGG
This 253-nucleotide ribosomal RNA is filed under the name uncultured prokaryote. Its description in RNAcentral is "partial 16S ribosomal RNA". It matches the Rfam family "Bacterial small subunit ribosomal RNA", at positions 524 to 776 of the family's 1533-position model. The record is from RNAcentral.